This 487-nucleotide ribosomal RNA is filed under the name uncultured bacterium. RNAcentral describes it as "bacterial SSU rRNA". It matches the Rfam family "Bacterial small subunit ribosomal RNA", at positions 28 to 526 of the family's 1533-position model. The record is from RNAcentral.
GAUGAACGCUGGCGGCGUGCUUAACACAUGCAAGUCGAACGGACGGAAUGGAGCUUGCUCCAUGAAGUUAGUGGCGGACGGGUGAGUAACGCGUGGGUAACCUGCCCUAUGCAGGGGGAUAACGUUUGGAAACGAACGCUAAUACCGCAUAACCUAGUUGGGUCGCAUGACCUGAUUAGCAAAGAUUUUAUCGGCAUAGGAUGGACCCGCGUUGGAUUAGCUAGUUGGUGAGAUAAAAGCUCACCAAGGCGACGAUCCAUAGCCGGCCUGAGAGGGUGAACGGCCACACUGGGACUGAGACACGGCCCAGACUCCUACGGGAGGCAGCAGUGGGGAAUAUUGCACAAUGGGCGCAAGCCUGAUGCAGCGACGCCGCGUGAAGGAUGAAGGUUUUCGGAUCGUAAACUUCUAUCAGCAGGGAAGAAAGAAAUGACGGUACCUGACUAAGAAGCCCCGGCUAACUACGUGCCAGCCGCCGCCGUAACAC